UUGCAAAAAUUGAGAAAAUUUGUUUGGAAGAUAACCUCAAGUGUGUAGCUGAACAACUAUUUGAUAAAAAAAAUUUCUGUGGGUAUGAGCUAUAAACCUAAUCAGCCAUCUCAACAGAAACCAGAAAGAGAUACCUCGCAAGAAUUGGACCACGCCUGCACACUGUUAAUGAACUCCCAGCCUCCAUAACUAGGAAAAGCCAAGUGAGAAAACAGAGAAGGUGGCUGUCUAUAAGCAAGAAAGAGAGGCUUCACCAAAAACCAACUGGACAGCAUUCUCAUUCUGAUCUUGGACAUCUAGCAUCUAAAACUGUGAGACAUACAUUUCUGUUGUGUAAACCUCCCAGCCUGUUUUGUUAUGACAGCCCUAGCAGAUGAAUAUGCCUAUUUUCCACAUUUUAUUAAUUUUAGAAUGACUCUUCUUUCUUUUGAAAGCAACUAUUGUGAAAAGUUGAGAGUAAAAGCAAGUGGAGAUGGAAAGAAAAUGACUGAGAAAAUAAGCUUGUUCUUAAACUCUGGCUUGUAUUUACUAGAGUUUUUACUAGCUAGAGUAUUUACUACACAAGAAGAUACCUGCAGACUGCUGUGGUUGCACAAAAGUCUGAUUGUAAGGUUUUCUCUUGGGCUGAAAUAUUUCUUAUCCUUCUGCCCCACCAUGUAUAGGGAGCUAACUAUAAUUUAUAGUCAGAAUGUAUGCGGUAUAGUCAGCUUAUA
RNAcentral lists this long non-coding RNA (713 nucleotides) under Homo sapiens (human). RNAcentral's name for it is "novel transcript". The record is from RNAcentral. Lineage: Eukaryota; Metazoa; Chordata; Mammalia; Primates; Hominidae.